This is a long non-coding RNA of Alexandromys fortis (reed vole), 3805 nucleotides long. RefSeq lists it as uncharacterized. The transcript has 3 exons. The record is from RefSeq and is a predicted model, not a curated record. Lineage: Eukaryota; Metazoa; Chordata; Mammalia; Rodentia; Cricetidae.
ACUUUAAGAAAGAGGAAUACCUUUUUAAAUUAUAAAAGAAUGAUAAACAUAAAGCUCAUGUUAUGACACCAUGGUUUGUAAUACGAAGUCAAGUUUGCUAAUGAUCUGUGAAAUUGCAUAAUUAUUUCCAAGAAGCUUGCUCCCAUUCUCUGGCCUCAUAAACUGCACUAUUGACCAGGCAGAGAUAUCAGAAGCAUAACUGAUUAUUUUCUGUCUACACCAGUGAUCUAGAAGUGUUUAAUAAACAAGUACCCAGCCUGCAAGCAGAGCAUGUUCUACCUGAAGCCAUUAUAUCUUCUAUCUGGUCAAGUGUCCUAGCUAAGUCAGGGGAAGCUAGUCAGGGAUACUAGAUAUGCUGGAAACACAGAUAAGCUUGUGUGUGCACCACCAGUAUCUGGAAAAAACUCUGGACUCUGUGAGAACAGCAAGUACUCUGAAACACUGAGUCAUCUUUCCAGACCCUUAUAUGUAUUUUUAAGUAACAGUUUAACAGUUUUUGCAAUUAUAGGUUACGUGUGACUAAGUCAGUUGGACUCUGUGAGUGGUAUAACAUGUGUUGGGGGAUGGUGACGGUGUUGGUCACUCACCACUUUGUUCUGAAUGUUAGCAUCAUCCUCCCACAGCUCUCUUUGCUGCCAGAUGCCCCUUCGAUUUUCAGCUUGUUCUAUAAGCUAUAAACUGAUUCCCUCCAUGGAAAUUUCUAAAGGCUCUCUUGCCUAGCAACACCGAGAAAGCCCUACAGCCUGGCACUGUUGGAUGUCCAAAGUAUCCUCUUUGACUCUUCCAAGCACCAUUCUUAUGUACUCGUUGAUUUCCAGUAGUUGUGUGUGUGUUGUUGUUGUUGCUGCUGUUGCUGUUUUCAGACAGGGUUUCUCUGUGUAGCUGUCCUGGAAUUCACUCUGUAGACCAGACAGACUGGCCUGAAACCCAGAGAGCUACCUCCCUCUGCCUCCUUUGGUGCUGGGAUUAAAGGCAUGCAUCACAACUGCCUGUCUCAAUCUACAAUUCUUUAGUCCAACAGAGUCAUCAUUAAUUCUGCUGUACUCUUUAAUGCCCUGGGCUCAGCCCAUCAUGCUCUCCGAUCCCACCUAGAAUAUCUGCCUCUAUGCCUUCAUCACUGGCAUUCAAAAUCCUACAUAAAAAGAGUCUGUGUUUGUGUGCAUGCCUGCAAAUCCUUGUGCCCGUAUGUGGAAGCCAGAGUCAAUGUUAGGUGUCUUCCCCAAUUGCUCUUAUCCUUAUUUUUGAGACAGUAUCUCACCCUGAACGCAGAGAUUACCAGUUGGGCUAGACUGGUUGGUUGGCCCUCAAGCCCCAGAGAUUCUGCAGUCCCCGCCUCUCAGUGCCGGGAUGAGAACUCAGGUCCUAAUGCUUGUGUGGCAGGCACUUUACCAACUGAACCAUUUUGACCUUGAAAGAUAUUUUUUUAAUGGGAUAAAAAGAAUCCUGUAAUGUUCGGAAUUUUGCGGUGACUGUACUGUAUCUUAGUUAGAGUUUCCAUUAUGUGAAGAGAUACCAUGGCCAUGACAACUUUAUAAAGGGCAUAAAUGAUGAUCCAGGGAGCUCCGGAGAAGAACGGGAGGGUGCAAGCCCUGAAUGAGCAGCUAGAGAUAAGUAGAAUAGUAAGAGCUAAUUAUGUAAAUUCAUUUCUAGACUUAGCUUUUGGAAUUUCCAUGACCUGUGCCCCUUUUGGAUCCUGGCACACCUGGCCUGUCUUCUUCAUAUUGAUCAGGGCCACCAGGUCUGGUUGGCUGACCUGAGAGGGUAACUUCUACUUUGCCUGUUGCUCGGAAUCAGUGUGUCGCCUGGUUCUGUUUCCAUUGGUUUCUAUUUCUCAUCUCAUUAAUAGAAUUUCAAUUAUCUUCCUUCCAGAAAAUAUUCUUUGAGCACCUAGAUGGCAUGUCAGACACUUUGUUAUGUGCAAGGGAACAUAAAAUUAGCAAAUCUGAAAGGGGACAUUACGAUGAACAAAUCCGAUAUGUCUCUGCCUCAUGGAGUGCACUGAUUUUCACACUAAAAGAAUUGUGUUAGGUGGGCAAGUUGGAUGACUGCUAAGAUUAAAUAAAACAACGUUUUGAAAAAGAAUCCACUAUUUAGUCAUCAGUUCCCAGCUUCAGUCUAACGACCAAGUCACCAAGGAGCAGAUCUGUGUUCUGGAGAGUCUCCUCUCAGCUAGAGAAAGUACAAGACUCAUCACGGGAGCUUGGCGGCUUGGAAGGACAGCAGCUCUGGAUACUCAUGCUCCAAGGAGAGGCGUUCCCCACCUCCAACUCUAAGACAAUCCUGCUGAACAGGUAGCCAGCUUUUUGGAUGGCCUCUAAACCUAUUUUUUAAAAGUACAUACCUCUCUGUUCAUGUCAAAGUUAACAGAUUUUUGUCAUAAGUUCAAACAAAAGCAUUUAGACUGUGGCACGUUGCAUAUGCCCUAUUUUGUAAUGUGUCGUGGUGUUGUAAGUACUGGCGUUAUAUCACCCAAUGCUCCUGCUUUUAAAGAUGGCCAGCUGGAUAAGCUUUCCUUAGUGAUUUGACAGUGUUAAAAAAAAAUGCUCAUAAUCUACUUUAAAAUUCUGAGGUCUGUGAUAUUUUGCCACCCAGGUGACACGGGACCUGAAGUGACAUGAGGAAGUUAGUCGGCACAGCCCGGAGGCAGCAUCAACAGGCAUCCUGCCAGCCUGAGACUCAGCUGGCUGACAGAACAUCGGAGACUUUGCUAAUAUCAUUUUUAUUGAUGAUAAAACUGGGCUCUUAAUAGCCAGAAGAGGGCACCAGAUCUCAUUACAGAUGGUUGUGAGCCACCAUGUGGUUGCCGGGAAUUGAACUCAGGACCUUUGGAAGAACAGGCAAUGCUCUUAACCUCUGAGCCAUCUCUCCAGCCCAAGCAUGGUAUGAAGAGUGUCUACCAAAACGGAAGUGCUAUGUCAGACCCUACUGAAAUGGAGCCAUGAAGAAAGAGCCUUCAUGAGGAUGCCCCUUAACAAGAGCUACCACGAAAGGUUUUCCUAAGGGAGCAGCACCCUGGGCCUCCCGGGCCUGGUGCGGGCCAGUGACUGCUACAACUGGUAGAGAAGUACUGCCCCCCAGAGAAGAGAGUGCUUGCUCUGCAGUCCUACGUUUAUCCCUCUGAGGGGAAAAACAUAAAUACUAAAUCCACUGAAAUUUUAAAUUGAAAGGAAAGAGAAAAGAAAUGCACAUUCCAGGGUCCUGCACUGGGAAAACUCUGUUACCCCAGCCCACCCAGCUUCAGGAGAUUGCAGUAGAUCACCAGGGAAGGGGCUUGGAGCAUUUGUAUCCCUAGGAACACUGUUGAGGGGUGGGGUGUUAUGAUUUGCUUUCAACAGCACAAUCCUCAAAGCCAGUGGGUCCACUGCGUCAAUCUCCAGAAACAUCUAGAUGAUUAGCUUGCAAUGCACAGCAGAUUCCUCCUGAACACAGAACUGUGGAUGCGAACAUGAAGCCACUGACGGGAGACUGGCCAGGGAGUUCCUGUUCGCCGAAGCCUCGGCCAAGCUCCAACAGUAAACAAAUCAGAUCUGAUCAUGCCUGACCCCCAGAGCCGAUGAGAGCGGUUCAGAGGCGCAUGCACGGAAGGAAUAUGUGGCAAACACCGAAGCUACAAUGUGCGAUGCGGUAGAAUCGUCAGAGUCGUGAUCCCGAGAAUGCAUUUGGUUUCUUGGAGAAGAUGUGUCGAUUCUCAGGAUUUGUUUUGAAACCAAUUUAAUUUUGUGUGUACAGAGCUGUUUUUAUUAAGAAUCUGAUGCAGGGGCUGGAGAGAUGGCUCAGUGGUUAAGAACACUGGCAGUUCUUCCAG